Long non-coding RNA from Gasterosteus aculeatus aculeatus (three-spined stickleback), 4931 nucleotides. The record is from Ensembl. NCBI's taxonomy places the organism in Eukaryota, Metazoa, Chordata, Actinopteri, Perciformes, Gasterosteidae.
GGCUGGUGGAGCUUUGAGAGAUUUUUCCGUACGUGCAAACUCAUUACAGGUGAAAAAGGUGGUCCACCCGUUGAGUCUACUCCAAAAAGGGAGCUAAUGUAGAAUCAUUUAUCAAACAUAUUAGGCAGAUUCACGUGGACGCCAUAUUUUGAUUUCAAAAUGGCAAAACAAACGCAGGAGGUUUGCAGGUAUGUUAUUCUAAAUGGUAAAUGGUAUAAAUGGUAAAUGGACUGUACUUGUAUAGCACUUUUCUAGUCUUCUGACCACUCAAAGCGCUUUAACACUACAUGACAUCAUUCACCCAUUCACACACUGAUGACAGGAGAACCACACACAGUGACACAGUGACACCUGUCCAUCAGUAACCAACAAUCACACACUGUAGUCGCAGCUACAGGAGCAAUGUUGGGUUAAGUGUUUUUCCCAAGGACACAACGACAUGCGGGUUAGCAGAGCCUGGGAUCGAACCGACAACCCUCUGAUUGGACAGAGGGCUGCAGGGUCUGAUUACAGAGCUGCAUCUGGUUGGUUGGUGCUUAAAUGUGGACACGCCCCACUCAGCUGGUCACAUAUUCCUUCCGCUUUAGCUCCAUUUUUGAUCACGGCGAAGGUAAGAUAUGAUUCAUGCUUCAGCUGCUUGUUUGUUCUUUUGUUGAGUUUUAAUGAUGAUAUAUAUCACGUGUGUAGAUAGAUGAUGGAGCAGUAGUUUUUGAUGUGUGCUGAUGUAGUGUCCUGGGUUUUGGAAUUGUGUUUAAUUAAGAGUAAAAAUGGUUAUCGUGAUCUUUGACCCAAUCUUCUGGCCCAGUUUGUAGGUUUGUGGGAUGAAAAUGUUUCGAACGACUCUUUCUUCGAGUCAUUUGGGGGGGGUAAGAUAUUACCGAUACCAGUAAGAUGAACACAUUUUUUCUUUGAGAGGACUCGUUACUCUCGAGUCCUUGUAAGGAUUCACGGGUCGUACGGUUCACGAACGACACAUCACUAGAAAACGGUGAGUGAUGGCUUCAAUAAUUGUAAUAUUUUCUGGUAUAUCUUAAGUUACCCAGGAGCUUUGUUGACAUAUACUUAGCUAAUGUUAGCUACAGCUUGAUGAAUUGAGUCAUUUACCGCGACGUUGGCCAGCUAGCUAAAGCUCCGGUAGCUAACGCUAGCGUUUUUGACAAGGCAGAAGGUAAAGUGCUCCACCGUUCUAUCAAUAAGCAGACCUGCCAACCUGAUAAGCAUUUUGGCAUUUUGACUUCAAAGUACGCUGGUACGACUUCACUCUCAACUACGCAAAAAUUUGUUUAAAAUUCAUUUUAGACUAGUUGACCAGCACACAUUAUAUGCAAUGCAAUAUAUUGCAUGACGAGUAUUUAAUGAAUUGUUCCCUAUUAGUUGUUGUCAAUUCCCAUCCCCCCCUCGUCGGUACCCCCUGGGACAAAACCAGUUGAAAACCUCUAGAGGGGUAAUCUCCUUCUCACCUUUUUCACCCUUGACCCGUUUUCAUGCCUGUCAUUAGAAAAUCAAAUUAUCCAUUAACUACAUAUUUCUCCUCAGGUUGCUGCUAGGCCUGGCCGGGAUGGCCCAAAAUCCAUAUUACAGCAUUUAUAAAGAUUCUGACCGUAUGUUGGUUUGUGAACAGCUGGGUGGCCAUAGCAACAGUAGCUCAGGGACCAGUAUACACUAGUUGGAUCACUCCUAACAGCUCAGAGUGUAAUCAUUAUAGACUGGUCAUGGAUGUGUAUGCUGAUCUCUGCCGUUCAUUUGGACUUCCUGUGUGGAUAGCUUCCUUGCUCCACGCUGCCAAACGCCUGAAGAGUGACUGCGCCCGUCGCAAGAAGGUCUACAGGCUCCUGCAAAGGAAACUGGUCGGUGCCCAUGUGAUAAAAUGCAAAUAUGUGAUCCAGCCAUUGCUUUUCUAUAUCACAUAUUUUGAAUUUUGCACAGUGAUUAACACAAUAAUGUGAAUUGAAAAUUACUUUUCAUUUAGCAGUACUCAAGACCAUGAUAGUUUGUGGUCCCUGUUCUUUCUAAAUGAAAAAUGAAAAUCCUGCUUCAUCUGAAAAUGUGUGUUGCACAUGAGUGAGUCCGACUUGCUGCUGUGAGGUUUGUGGUUCCAGAACCACCUCCAGCUAUCUGUUCGUCCCCACCCAUGGACAUUCUCCCUCACAGUCCACCAUUGUGAUAUAUGCAACUACUUCAACAAGGACUAGUAAAAAGCAGGAUUCACUUCAAAACUGAUGCUUACAUUUGAUUAAUGGCAAACAUUUGGGAGCCAUCUUCAUCCUUUGAAGCUGUCAAUAUUGCUAGUAUUUUUUAUCUGUAGCAUGUCCUGCUGCAAAUGUAGCUAACUUCCAUUCUCAGCUUUUCAUGUAUAGACUCAUGGAAAUUUUGUUAAAAGUUAUGGAAAAGUUCUGAAUGAAAAAUUGUGUACUUUUUCUGUUCUAUUUCUUCAACUUUUUGAAAGUACAUCACCAAAAAAACAAAUAUUGCCUUAAAAUGCAGAAAAUGGGCAAUUUGUUAAAAUGAAAUGGACAUUUUUGGACAUUAUACAGGACACUGACACAUUUUCAGUCUGCAGUUUGGGCUGGGCGCCCCCUAAUAUAAUGGUACAGGAAACCCUGGUAAGCAUAAGUUUGGUCAAUAACUUAAUCCCUAGUAUAUGGUACACAUUUAGACUAUGUCAUGUUGGUUGUGGUGCUGGACUCAAGACCAGAACACAGCAGCAAAGGUUCGAGAACCAGGGGUAUAAAUUUGUCCUGUUAUUGACCAGCCUAAUAUUAGAAUAUAUGUCUUUUUUUAAAGCGAAUAUUUGAAUGUCCUUUUUAAACGAUUUUGACAGCCCUAAUGCUCAGGCUUUUUGUUUUAACAACUGCAGACACCACGAUGGUCCGCCUCCGAAAUCACCUGAAAUGUGCCUUUGCUUUCAGACGAUUCAAACUGUCCAACCACCACGGCUGUCUGCUCUCGGUGUGUUCACCCAGUCCUCUAGUUCGUUCUCUGUUUCGGGCCAGUGGCACUUUCUUCCUCUGACUGCUUUGUGAGACUUCUUGCAUCUUCUCCUUCUUGCAAGUUCUGCAGCCUCCAAUCUGGAACCAUGGACUCCUUGAUCCGUUUGAGUGCCGCAGCUCGGUUCCCCUUUCAAUGGCCACGUCAAUAGCCUUUAGUUUAAAAGCCGCUGUCACACGUUACAGCGUGUCUUCGACAUGUUUAUAUCUGGGGAUGAGCGAUGGCGGGAAUAAAUACCGAAAUCAACCACGCCCUUAUUUUAUCCGCCGGGGUCAAAGGUGAGAAUAAAGGAAAGUAACAAGUUUCGGCUUAAAACCGGCAUUUAAGGAUACUUUCAGUAUGUGUCCUGGGUUAGUUUUAAGAUGUGAGCCAAUGUAACCGGUCCAGACCUAGAGGUGUCUGGACCGGUAACAUGUGAUUCACACUGGAUUAAUGAAGAGACAUACAUCGUGGGUACGUCUUCAUCGAGCCAGCGUCAUUUCAUUCUGGCUCACGUCGCUUGGUUUGCUCCCCGGUGGCACACAUUCGCCAUCUAACGAUGUGGAGGAGUAGGUCCACGAUGCGUUUGACUGCUCAAAAACCUAUUACAUCACCACUGGAAUACAGGAGCCGCAGCAUGGACACAACAGGAAAGUAGAAACCUGAAAUAAAAGUCUGAGAAUAACCGUCUACCAUUUGAAGAGAGUGAGACACAACAUUGAUAGUUGGUCCUCACUAACCACUAUUUAACUAUUUAGACCUACAGUAUUCUUGUAAAACCCCUUAAACGGAUUAUAUAUCCCACCUGGACAGGUCUGGGAAAGUCGGGACUACCUUGCUUUACAUUGACCUGGAUAAGAGAAAAUGGACGAAAAAACUAUUUUUUUAGCAUUGACUAUUAGUUAUGAAAUAGUAUUCCCAGGUGUUCCUAUUUCUUUUCUUUGAUUCCCAGAUGUACACGGGGUCGGUGUGAAGGGGGGGGAUCGGUGCCACCCCACAUACGUCUACCCUGAGGAGGUGAAACAGUUGAUUCGUUGUGUGUUCUCACAGGACAUCUGUGACUACCCCGACCCCUGCCACGACCAGGUGGUGUACGUCACUCUGGAGGAUUUGCACAAAGUUGACAUCAACUGAAGUGUGUGUCUCUUCUUCUAUGCUGAUGAACAACUUCCAGUCAUGGAUCAGCAACAGUUUUGCAAUGUGGGAAGUUGAUUCUCGAGGGUGUUGAUUGAAAGCUUAUUUCAAGAUGUUUUACUGAGUGGUUUCAGUGUCCCUCAACAUGAAUAUUAGGGUUUACAAAUAUUGUAUAUUUAUAUUGGAUCUCCACUCUUGACAAAUUACAGCUGUCAAGCUCAAAUGCUGAUCCACUAUAAGAACCGACUACAGCAUCUGACCGUUUGUGUAGUUACAAUGCCAAGUAGAAUUCACAAUACAUUCAUUGUAUUUAAUUGUAAUUAAUAUGGAGGGACAAUUUUACUCUGUAAUACAAACAGUAAUAAAACAGUGUUUUCUGUUAUUUUUUCCAAUAAAAGAAUAAAAAGUGUUCCACUACCAAUAGGGUUGUAUUUAAUCCGAAAACAUCUAGAUGUCGAGAAGAAAACAACCUUGAAACCUUGAGGCAGCGGUGUCCAGAUUUGAUGAUGUAAAGAUGCCUGGGGGCCAAUAGUACCUUCUGACAUUUUUAACCAUAAAAGUUACAUGAGAUACACGUUCAUUGUCACCAUUAUCUAGUUUUUUUCCAAUGGCAAUGUAGCCAACGAUAUUCCACUCAGGCAGGCAUCGACAACUCUAAAAGCACUGGUUUGUCUUUUAUUCAUCAUUGAACGAACUCCAUGAAGUUGAUAAAUACCUUUUUACAUUGUGAUCCUUUUAAACAGGAUUGAAUAAAUAACUCUGCUAAAGGAGGAAUUGCAUUUUAAAGUUUCAUGGUUUAUUUAACUGUGCUAGCAGGACAUACACAAUAC